This 468-nucleotide ribosomal RNA is filed under the name uncultured bacterium. Its description in RNAcentral is "partial 16S ribosomal RNA". It matches the Rfam family "Bacterial small subunit ribosomal RNA", at positions 28 to 507 of the family's 1533-position model. The record is from RNAcentral.
GACGAACGCUAGCGGCGUGCUUAACACAUGCAAGUCGAACGGAGAAGCUCCAGCUUGCUGGAGUGGAUCAGUGGCGAACGGGUGAGUAACACGUGAGCAACCUGCCCCUGACUCUGGAAUAAGCGCUGGAAACGGCGUCUAAUACUGGAUACGAGAAGGGUCCGCAUGGGCACUUUCUGGAAAGUUUUUCGGUUGGGGAUGGGCUCGCGGCGUAUCAGCUUGUUGGUGUGGUUAUGGCUCACCAAGGCGACGACGGGUAGCCGGCCUGAGAGGGCGACCGGCCACACUGGGACUGAGACACGGCACAGGCUCCUACGGGAGGCAGCAGUGGGGAAUAUUGCACAAUGGGCGAAAGCCUGAUGCAGCGACGCCGCGUGAGGGAUGACGGCCUUCGGGUUGUAAACCUCUUUCAGCAGGGAAGAAGCGAAAGUGACGGUACCUGCAGAAGAAGCACCGGCUAACUACGUG